ACAGGAACUGUUCAGUUCCCACCCUCAGUGGGCACCACACACCCCACUUCCAGCAGAGUCCUGCCUCCUCCCAAUCCCCACAGACACACACAUUGAUCCUCAUCCUCAGCUCCUUGCAGAUGGAGCCCACAAAACUCUAACCAAACUGGAGGCUGGCAUGGGAGAAGUGCUUCUGGUUCACUCUCCCUACCCUCUCCCUCCUAACCCUCUCCUUGCCUGACAGGGGAGCCCCUGUGGCCUGGACUCUAGGGGAUGCCGCCACCAGAAACCCCUCUGCCAAUCCCUACCUUGCACCCUGGGAACUGCAGUAACUUAUUCUCAAAGGCUUUAAACACAGAGAUCCUCUCAGCGGCCGUGGGCCUGCCCCUUGUCCUAGCCCUGCCACGUGAGGGUCCAGCCUCCAGGGACAGGCACUGCCCACCAACGGCAAAUCCAAAGUUCUUUUAAAAAAAAA
This 454-nucleotide small RNA is filed under the name Pan troglodytes (chimpanzee). RNAcentral's name for it is "processed transcript". The record is from RNAcentral. Lineage: Eukaryota; Metazoa; Chordata; Mammalia; Primates; Hominidae.